GUUGUGUCAAUGUCAUUUUCUACUUGUCAUUCCUACUGGUCGUGUGAAUGCAGCGUAGCGGGACAGAGCCGGCUGGAGCCGAUGGCGGGGCGGGACACGCUUUGGCCCGGCUCAAGAUGGAGGCCAGGAGGUGGAGAAUGCAGCGGAACGGAGAGGCGGGGCGUGCCUGGAGCGACGCUGCAGCAAUGAAAAUCAGUGUAUAAAAGGCGAGAAGGAGGAAAGAUCGAGAGGAAGAGGUGGAGUGUCCGCAGGACUGCAGCAGAAGAAAAACCCGAACGAUCAGAGAAUGAGCCCCAGGGGAAGACGACAUCACCGGCAGCUGAAAAGCCGACCAAGACGAACAGCGGAGGAAGAGGAGCUGAAAAGCGGCCCGAUCGACGCCGACGUCAAACCUGCUCGACUUGAUGUCCUUCCUAAAUGGUCCAUGCAACCCACACGGUGACGGUCUGGAGUCCUUCACAGGCACAUAUAAAGAAGUGACCCCGCUGGUCCUAACUAUAUAAACUCCUUUAAAAGGACCACCGCUGAAUAAUAGGCCACCUAAUUCCUAAUGUAUUGUUGAGAGGGUGAAAAGGACACAAUAGAAAUCUGCUGUCAGUGCAAGUUAUCUGCAGUUGAAGUAAUUGGAAAGUCUUCAGUUUAGUGUUGUUUAUGAAGAUGAGCUGCGUCAGCACCAAAAAAAAAGCAUCUUAGUACAUUGUCCCUUCCAUUGUCUCCGUCUAAUUCCUAUUUCCUAAUCUAUUUUCCAUAACCUUGAUUCUACACGUCCAGAACAAAAAAUAGUCUGGCAGUGUCUCACAGCAAUUUGUAGCUUGUCUGCAUUUAUUAUUGCUGCCUAUUUAAAUCACUUCUGUAAUUUCCCCCACAGUGUUGUGUUGAUUUGUUGUUUUUUUCCCUCUGGGAUGAACAUGAUCAAGAGAUGUGUCUUC
Molecule: long non-coding RNA, 929 nt
Organism: Nerophis ophidion (straightnose pipefish)
Lineage: Eukaryota; Metazoa; Chordata; Actinopteri; Syngnathiformes; Syngnathidae
Exons: 3
Source: RefSeq, a predicted model, not a curated record